This 1337-nucleotide ribosomal RNA is filed under the name metagenome. RNAcentral describes it as "bacterial LSU rRNA". It matches the Rfam family "Bacterial large subunit ribosomal RNA", at positions 1608 to 2925 of the family's 2925-position model. The record is from RNAcentral.
CCAAGAAAAGCCUCUAAGCUUCAGAUAACUAGGAACCGUACCCCAAACCGACACAGGUGGUUGGGUAGAGAAUACCAAGGCGCUUGAGAGAACUCGGGUGAAGGAACUAGGCAAAAUGGCACCGUAACUUCGGGAGAAGGUGCGCCGGUGAGGGUGAAGCAUUUACUGCGUAAGCCCGUGCCGGUCGAAGAUACCAGGCCGCUGCGACUGUUUAUUAAAAACACAGCACUCUGCAAACACGAAAGUGGACGUAUAGGGUGUGACGCCUGCCCGGUGCCGGAAGGUUAAUUGAUGGGGUUAGCUAACGCGAAGCUCUUGAUCGAAGCCCCGGUAAACGGCGGCCGUAACUAUAACGGUCCUAAGGUAGCGAAAUUCCUUGUCGGGUAAGUUCCGACCUGCACGAAUGGCGUAACGAUGGCGGCGCUGUCUCCACCCGAGACUCAGUGAAAUUGAAAUCGCUGUGAAGAUGCAGUGUAUCCGCGGCUAGACGGAAAGACCCCGUGAACCUUUACUAUAGCUUUGCACUGGACUUUGAAUUUGCUUGUGUAGGAUAGGUGGGAGGCUUUGAAGCGAGGACGCCAGUUCUUGUGGAGCCAAUCUUGAAAUACCACCCUGGCAACUUUGAGGUUCUAACUCUGGUCCGUUAUCCGGAUCGAGGACAGUGUAUGGUGGGUAGUUUGACUGGGGCGGUCUCCUCCUAAAGAGUAACGGAGGAGUACGAAGGUGCGCUCAGACCGGUCGGAAAUCGGUCGUAGAGUAUAAAGGCAAAAGCGCGCUUGACUGCGAGACAGACACGUCGAGCAGGUACGAAAGUAGGUCUUAGUGAUCCGGUGGUUCUGUAUGGAAGGGCCAUCGCUCAACGGAUAAAAGGUACUCCGGGGAUAACAGGCUGAUACCGCCCAAGAGUUCAUAUCGACGGCGGUGUUUGGCACCUCGAUGUCGGCUCAUCACAUCCUGGGGCUGAAGCCGGUCCCAAGGGUAUGGCUGUUCGCCAUUUAAAGUGGUACGCGAGCUGGGUUUAGAACGUCGUGAGACAGUUCGGUCCCUAUCUGCCGUGGACGUUUGAGAUUUGAGAGGGGCUGCUCCUAGUACGAGAGGACCGGAGUGGACGAACCUCUGGUGUUCCGGUUGUCACGCCAGUGGCAUCGCCGGGUAGCUAUGUUCGGAAUAGAUAACCGCUGAAAGCAUCUAAGCGGGAAACUAGCCUCAAGAUGAGAUCUCACUGGGACCUUGAGUCCCCUGAAGGGCCGUCGAAGACUACGACGUUGAUAGGUGGGGUGUGUAAGCGUUGUGAGGCGUUGAGCUAACCCAUACUAAUUGCCCGUGAGGCUUGACCG